Carassius carassius (crucian carp) is the source of this 384-nucleotide long non-coding RNA. RefSeq lists it as uncharacterized. NCBI's taxonomy places the organism in Eukaryota, Metazoa, Chordata, Actinopteri, Cypriniformes, Cyprinidae. The record is from RefSeq and is a predicted model, not a curated record. The transcript has 2 exons.
GUCCUCGUCUCUCUGCGCGCUUAGCGGAGGUCUGUUUAUUCAUCAACGCACUACAUCUUUAGAAUUAUUCGGGGUUUAAGGACACAUGUCACGGUGUGAAAGGACAAUCCUGACUGAUGGGCGGCUAAAUGGAUUGAGACGGUCCGUCGAGAGAAAGAAUAAGAGGAGAGAGAGAUAGAGGACGAAUAAUCCAGCUAAUCCAGGCCAAUCCCAGCCGUUCAGACUCCUCUGGAGCCACACACAAAACACGGCGGAUCACAAUCUGAUGUGCUUAAGACGGGCUGUUUGGAAGAAUUUCUGCAUCAUGUAAAUCCGAAGAAGUCACUAAGUUAACAGUGGGAUUCAGUGAUUCUUUUAAAACGAUGGUGACAUGCAGAUAUUUUU